This 1554-nucleotide ribosomal RNA is filed under the name Salmonella enterica subsp. enterica serovar Typhimurium str. SARA13. RNAcentral's name for it is "bacterial SSU rRNA". It matches the Rfam family "Bacterial small subunit ribosomal RNA". The record is from RNAcentral. Lineage: Bacteria; Pseudomonadati; Pseudomonadota; Gammaproteobacteria; Enterobacterales; Enterobacteriaceae.
UUAAAUUGAAGAGUUUGAUCAUGGCUCAGAUUGAACGCUGGCGGCAGGCCUAACACAUGCAAGUCGAACGGUAACAGGAAGCAGCUUGCUGCUUCGCUGACGAGUGGCGGACGGGUGAGUAAUGUCUGGGAAACUGCCUGAUGGAGGGGGAUAACUACUGGAAACGGUGGCUAAUACCGCAUAACGUCGCAAGACCAAAGAGGGGGACCUUCGGGCCUCUUGCCAUCAGAUGUGCCCAGAUGGGAUUAGCUUGUUGGUGAGGUAACGGCUCACCAAGGCGACGAUCCCUAGCUGGUCUGAGAGGAUGACCAGCCACACUGGAACUGAGACACGGUCCAGACUCCUACGGGAGGCAGCAGUGGGGAAUAUUGCACAAUGGGCGCAAGCCUGAUGCAGCCAUGCCGCGUGUAUGAAGAAGGCCUUCGGGUUGUAAAGUACUUUCAGCGGGGAGGAAGGUGUUGUGGUUAAUAACCGCAGCAAUUGACGUUACCCGCAGAAGAAGCACCGGCUAACUCCGUGCCAGCAGCCGCGGUAAUACGGAGGGCGCAAGCGUUAAUCGGAAUUACUGGGCGUAAAGCGCACGCAGGCGGUCUGUCAAGUCGGAUGUGAAAUCCCCGGGCUCAACCUGGGAACUGCAUUCGAAACUGGCAGGCUUGAGUCUUGUAGAGGGGGGUAGAAUUCCAGGUGUAGCGGUGAAAUGCGUAGAGAUCUGGAGGAAUACCGGUGGCGAAGGCGGCCCCCUGGACAAAGACUGACGCUCAGGUGCGAAAGCGUGGGGAGCAAACAGGAUUAGAUACCCUGGUAGUCCACGCCGUAAACGAUGUCUACUUGGAGGUUGUGCCCUUGAGGCGUGGCUUCCGGAGCUAACGCGUUAAGUAGACCGCCUGGGGAGUACGGCCGCAAGGUUAAAACUCAAAUGAAUUGACGGGGGCCCGCACAAGCGGUGGAGCAUGUGGUUUAAUUCGAUGCAACGCGAAGAACCUUACCUGGUCUUGACAUCCACAGAAGAAUCCAGAGAUGGAUUUGUGCCUUCGGGAACUGUGAGACAGGUGCUGCAUGGCUGUCGUCAGCUCGUGUUGUGAAAUGUUGGGUUAAGUCCCGCAACGAGCGCAACCCUUAUCCUUUGUUGCCAGCGAUUAGGUCGGGAACUCAAAGGAGACUGCCAGUGAUAAACUGGAGGAAGGUGGGGAUAACGUCAAGUCAUCAUGGCCCUUACGACCAGGGCUACACACGUGCUACAAUGGCGCAUACAAAGAGAAGCGACCUCGCGAGAGCAAGCGGACCUCAUAAAGUGCGUCGUAGUCCGGAUUGGAGUCUGCAACUCGACUCCAUGAAGUCGGAAUCGCUAGUAAUCGUGGAUCAGAAUGCCACGGUGAAUACGUUCCCGGGCCUUGUACACACCGCCCGUCACACCAUGGGAGUGGGUUGCAAAAGAAGUAGGUAGCUUAACCUUCGGGAGGGCGCUUACCACUUUGUGAUUCAUGACUGGGGUGAAGUCGUAACAAGGUAACCGUAGGGGAACCUGCGGUUGGAUCACCUCCUUACCUUAAAGAA